UGUUCUCUUUGUAGACAUUUCGUAUCUUUGACAUUGAAACGAAGAAGAACUUGUUCAUCCAUCAACUACAGUUCUCAUCCGACACCAAAAAUUAUCUUGGGGAGGAUUAUUAUUAUAUUUCUCCAAGAUGGUUCAUCUAUGAAAGUUCACUCUUUAUUUGGCAUAGUCUUCCUGCAAAAGAAGCAAAUGAGAACAUCUAACCUAUCAAAUCAUUCAGGUACAAGUCUUUGUUUCCUUUCCAAGUAAUUUUCUUUAUGUACUCGUAUUAUUAUAUGUGCCCAUUCAUUUGUAAUUUUAAUUUUGUGGACUUGUUAAUGAAUUGGUAAUGUCACAUUGGUUUCGGUAAGAACCCAUUAUCAGAUAUUAUCCUCUUUAACUCGUUACGUAUCGUCAUUAGCUUUACGAUUUUAAACGUGUCUACUAGGGAGAGGUUUUUACGCUUUUAUAAGGUAGGUUUCGUUUCCUUUUCGAACCGAUGUGGGAUCUCACAAUCCAUCUCUUUUGGAGCCCAAUAUCCUCACUAGCCCACUAUCUAUUUACAUGCCAAUAAUGAACUAGGAAGAGUUUGGCUAAGUACAUGAGAACGGUGUCCCAUGUCAUUAAUAGACUUCGGCAACAUAGGCCCGAUCGGGUUCAUCUCAUGAAAAGUGGUUGAACAUGAAGCCAUAAAGAAAUGAAGGUUGUAGUUAUGGGUA
Cucurbita moschata (crookneck pumpkin) is the source of this 695-nucleotide long non-coding RNA. RefSeq lists it as uncharacterized. The transcript is spliced from 2 exons. NCBI's taxonomy places the organism in Eukaryota, Viridiplantae, Streptophyta, Magnoliopsida, Cucurbitales, Cucurbitaceae. The record is from RefSeq and is a predicted model, not a curated record.